Molecule: ribosomal RNA, 253 nt
Filed under: uncultured bacterium
Lineage: Bacteria
Description: partial 16S ribosomal RNA
Rfam family: Bacterial small subunit ribosomal RNA
Source: RNAcentral
UACGAAGGGGGCUAGCGUUGCUCGGAAUCACUGGGCGUAAAGGGGGCGUAGGCGGGGUUUUAAGUCAGGGGUGAAAUCCUGGAGCUCAACUCCAGAACUGCCUUUGAUACUGAAGAUCUUGAGUCCGGGAGAGGUGAGUGGAACUGCGAGUGUAGAGGUGAAAUUCGUAGAUAUUCGCAAGAACCCCAGUGGCGAAGUCGGCUCACUGGCCCGGUACUGACGCUGAGGCACGAAAGCGUGGGGAGCAAACAGG